CAACCCGCCCGUCACACCAUGGGAGUUGAUUGCACCAGAAGCAGGUAGCCUGACCGCAAGGGGGGCGCCUACCACGGUGUGGUCAAUGACUGGGGUG
Molecule: ribosomal RNA, 97 nt
Filed under: uncultured bacterium
Lineage: Bacteria
Description: partial 16S ribosomal RNA
Rfam family: Bacterial small subunit ribosomal RNA
Source: RNAcentral